Molecule: long non-coding RNA, 762 nt
Organism: Onychostoma macrolepis
Lineage: Eukaryota; Metazoa; Chordata; Actinopteri; Cypriniformes; Cyprinidae
Exons: 3
Source: RefSeq, a predicted model, not a curated record
CAUUCAGGAACGAAUCACCGUCAUGUUGCUCAGAGACGCUGUGACUGUGUUUGGAACUAUUUUUGUUGGCGAAAUAGAGCAAAAAUAGGCAAUAUGGUGUCUAAAACAAGGAAGAAAGACAUACAGGAAUGACAUGAAGGUAUACUGUAGGUGAGCCAGGUUACCCACAGUUCAUCUGGCUCUGUGCCUUUCAAUCACCAAGCCGUCUCUGAGGGUGGAAAAUCUGUCAGUGGGUGCCGCUCCGCCUGCCGGAGAUUGAUAGCUGUGACCUUAGCUGCUGCAACUCUGCCACCAUGGUCCAACAAUUUUACAUAUUAAUUUAUGUUCUGUAGGGUUGUAAUUGAGAGAGGAGGAGGGAGCGGGCUAUUUGCAGAGAGAUGAAUGCCCCUCUCUCUAUGAUUUAUGACACUUUCAUCACCUUUUGUAAGGCUUGUUUAAACAGGGCAUGUAUACGUUGCCUUCACAGGUGAGUAAAACAGGGUCAUGUUUGCAUAAAAGCCUAAAUUAUGGGUGGAGAUAUGCUGCCGGGGAGAGGAGAGAGGAUAGGAUUAUGGGCGGAGAAAUAAUUAAAUAGAAUUUAUAUGAUGUAUGGAAACACUAUGAUUUGUUUUACCGGUGUAUUUGUUAGGAUGGCCAGUCAGUAUAAAUGAAAUAAUGUGUGAACUUUUGUAUGAAAUUUAGCAUCAGCAAUGGUUGAUUUAUUAUAGAUAAAAGGAUAAUUCUCAGACAGAUGAGAACCAUGCAUGAACCAUGUGAUUGAAU